UACGUAGGGUGCGAGCGUUGUCCGGAAUUAUUGGGCGUAAAGAGCUCGUAGGCGGCUUGUCGCGUCGGAUGUGAAAGCCCGGGGCUUAACUCCGGGUCUGCAUUCGAUACGGGCAGGCUAGAGUUCGGUAGGGGAGAUCGGAAUUCCUGGUGUAGUGGUGAAAUGCGCAGAUAUCAGGAGGAACACCGGUGGCGAAGGCGGAUCUCUGGGCCGAUACUGACGCUGAGGAGCGAAAGCGUGGGGAGCGAACAGG
This 253-nucleotide ribosomal RNA is filed under the name uncultured bacterium. Its description in RNAcentral is "partial 16S ribosomal RNA". It matches the Rfam family "Bacterial small subunit ribosomal RNA", at positions 524 to 776 of the family's 1533-position model. The record is from RNAcentral.